Molecule: long non-coding RNA, 9505 nt
Organism: Apis cerana (Asiatic honeybee)
Lineage: Eukaryota; Metazoa; Arthropoda; Insecta; Hymenoptera; Apidae
Source: RefSeq, a predicted model, not a curated record
GUACUACUGAUCGAUUUAGCAGAUGAUGAUUGUCGGAGAUGAUUCCUGAUUAAACUCCACUCCCUGACUUCCAUUUUGCAACGACGGUUGUCAGUGGAAUUUUCUGAUGCUAAAUCACUAUUUUUUUUUUUUUUUGAUUCUGGUGCCCAUGAUUAGUAAUAAAUAAUAGUUUAAAAAAAAUGCAACUAUUACAAUAAGAUAGAGUAAAAAUGAAUAUUGUAUACAAGAUUUAAAAAAUGUUACGUAUAUUAUGAAUUUAAUUAAAUAAGAUUAUUUAUUAAAAUAUAUAAGAAGAAUAUCGUACGAUCCAUUAAUCAACAAUUCUAUCAAUUUUCUCGUAAACUAUACAUAUAAAUUGUCAAAAGAGAUAAUAUGAGCAACAAGGAUUCUUCGAAAUUCAUUAAUGAGAAAGAGACAGCGUGAUCUCGUGAUCGAUCGAUGGUUUGAUAAUAAAGAUAUGGUCGAAAUGAUGCAAAAACAACGUCUUGACAAUCUCGAGGACCGCAAAAUAAUGUAUCAAGUUCGUUGCGAUCCGCGAAUUCGUCGCCACACUAUUACGGGUUAUAGUGUGCACCUUUCCGACCUCAUUCAACUUUGAACCGCGUCGAGAACGAUGGUGUACAAGGCACAAAUAUCUGCCACUGGCGCGUGUUGGAACUCUGUUUUACUCAACUCCCACCACCCAUCCUCUCCGCUAUCCCCACUUCAAUUCAUUUGUAUCCCCACCUCGUAUCGCUGUUUCUCUGUGAUAAACCCGUGGAUCGAGACACACGUGCGUAUCGCAUUCGUGGUGUAUUGAAAAAUGGAAAAUAAUGAGAAAAAAAGAAAAAAGAGAAGGGAAUCAUAGUAUAGAGAUAGUAUCGUUGACAGAACGUUAAGUAGAAGUGCACAGGUUUCAAAAAUGCGAAUAAAGACCCGAUUAUCCGGGAUUCGAGAGCGGAUUUUCAGGUGUAGAUUAGGAAAUUGGUUCGGGACCGAGAUGAGGAGAUAUGAUGGAGAUUAGGAGAGUGGGGUCGGAGCGACCGCCAUAUUGGAAUAUUAGGCUUAGGGAAGCGAAUAGUUCAAGUGGGAGAGAGAGAAAGACAGAGACUGGCGAAAUGGUCGUUUCGCAACCAGAGAAUUCUUCUCCGAUUUUGUGCAAUUCGACCGGCUUUCAGGAAUUCUUUCUUCUAUCUAUUGAGAUAAAAAAAGAAUAUAACACGAUAGUUUUUAAAUUGAGAAAUUUAAAUUAGAAAGAACGAAAUUCAAAGUAAAUCUAUCGAAAAUAUGGAAACUUAGAGAGAGACGAGAUUAAAAUAUAAAAAUAUUACAAAAAAAAUUAAAAAAAUUUUUUUCACGAUGGAUCGAAAAAUAAAGCGAAAAUUAAUUGGCAAAAAAUUCAUCCAAGCCAUCAACCUCGAUCGAUACCAACCAACGCUUUAUUUUCGAAGGGUAAAUUUUUCGGCGGGAAAACGCGAUAAACAGUUAAACAAAGAAAAAUACACGCGAAAACGAAAAGAAUCGUUUUCGUGACGAAAUAAAAAUCGGAGCAAUCAAGAUGACGGUGUUCGUGAGAAGCAUAUAAUAUUUUCCGCUAGUCAGAAUGGAAGAAACUUCUCAUCGUUUCGCGAUACUCUCUCCAAAUAUACCAGAGAGAGAGAGAGACGACUCUAUCCUCGAACCUUUCGUCCGUUCUCACGAGGAAAGCUCCUCGAGGCCAUGCGGUUGGCCGAGGUAAUUCCCCUGAAACGUUGCUUCCACGUUGCUCGACCGUAAGUUCGAUCAACUUACUCGCCUGGUUUACUCGUACUCCUUCCUCUCUCUUUCUUCUCGGUCGAGAGAAAAAGUCGAGAUAUUCGAUUUCUACGUUCGGUUUCGGCGCGAGAACUCGUUAAUCGAUUCGUGCACUACAGACUGCUUCAAAAGCAAAUAUUUCGUGCGUUCGUUAUCGUUAUCGAUCGAUUACGAUAAUUUACAAAAAAAAAAAGAAAUAAUCGAACAUUUUGGAAAUUUUGCUAAUUUUUGUCAUUUUCCUCGUUUGACCCGAGAAUCCAAAUCCUCCUUUUCUAAUUUUUCGAAAGAUAUCUCGAAGAUCGAGAAAAAGGGAUCAGAUUUGCGAACAACGGGAUUAUCGACUUGAUAACGCGAUCAUCUUGGAUUUUCCGCAAAUUCCAAAUUCUUCUCUAUCCCAUUCUCGAUAUUGAAUGAAACAUUGGACGAAGAACGAGAAUUUCGCUACAAGAAAGAACGGGAUGACGAUAUAUAAUUGGAAUUUCGAUCAUUGGCGUAGACCAAGUUGGUGGUAACAGUUCGACGAGGAAACGAUAAUUUAGGCGGCGUUCCCUCGAAGAUCGAGUCUUCGUGGAGAUGACUUUAAUCGCGUCUCCGAAUCCCACCGGCCCCCGGGAUCGAGCUCCAUUAUCGUAAAUUAGUAGCUGCCCCGCUUCAAAGUUGCUUUCAAAACAGGCCGCGAGUGGCGCUUAUUGUGCUGGGCCGGCCCAUCUCCCGGGGUCGUUGUCUUAAUUUCGUUCCAGUUUCUUUGUGCCCGGCAUGCAGGAACUAAUUAUCGAUACUUGGCAAGUUUCCAAACUCUCGACAAUACGCCAUUUUAUAUACAUAUAUAUAUAUAUAUAUAUUCUUGUAAAUUUAUUACGCGAAGAAAGAAAGAGAGAGAGAGAAGGAAAGAUCGAAGGAUCUUUCUUUCUUUUUUAUUUUAUCUUAAGGAAAGUGGUCGAGGAAAGGAGCGGGGAGUAAAUAAACGGGAUACGUGAUUGGGUUUCGAGAAAAUUUCAUCUUCUGAAAAUCGGUUCGAUUACGAGCCGCUUCUCUGAUAAAUGGCGUCGCCUCGGUUUCUUUCGUGAAUAAACGGAAGAGGUCGUUCGAUCUGGGGAAAAAGGAGAAUUGAGAAGUUUUUAGUGAAAAAUAACACGGUUACCCGCGGUUGAAAUUGACGGAGGUUAGAAAUUCGGGUUAUUUGAUCAACUUAUAGAAAGAAUCUUGAUAGAUAUUCGGAAAAAUAUAAAAGAGUGUAAUAAAAUUAUUGAAUCGUUAUAAAAGUGAUACAAAAAUUCCUAUACAGUUCGAAAGUCUGUGGUAAAAUUUCUUCCCUUAAUUCCUUUCCAUAGACUAUUUUAAUUUCAUUCUUUUAUUUUUUUUUACCUACAACUCCUCGAUUCAUUUACAAAAAGAAAUGUUCUCGAUAAAAUAUCGUGUGAAAUAUUAAAAAGUAUCUGAAAGAAAGAAAAAGAAAACAUUUAAAAUUCUUGAACCGCGUUCCAAUCCCGACAUGUUCGCGCAUUGGUCGGAUGGAAAAAAGGAGGGGAGAGAAAAAGAAGGGAGAGAUGGCAGUUUGCUCAGUGGCUUAAAAGGCCGUUUGCCUCGAAUCCAGAAGGUGCAACUCUACGCCAACAAAUUGAGUUUACACCGUUGGAGCGUUUGCUUCGAGGCAAUCCCUGCAGGAGGAUUCUUGCCGAGGAUGAAUGGAAAAUGCUCGAAAACUCGAUCGAACGCCCUCGGACGAUAAACGUUCCCGCGUGGCCGGGCUUCUCCUCGAGGAAAAAUAAAAUUGAUCGCCUUUCUCCGCUACAUCGACACACGUUUCCUCUCCUUCUUUGUUGCGCGAUGGUAUCCGUGUCUAAUAUCUAAUCGCAGUUGUGAAAGUGGAGUUGAAUGGUGAAAUACAAUAACCCUUCUGUAGAGAUGACGAAUGUAACGGAUUUUGGAUUUUUCGAUCGAAUGAAGCAAGGUAUUUGAUCAAUAAUUUAUUUUAUCUUGAAUUACCAUUUCUUUGAAAAGAAAAUGUUUAUUUAAGAAGGAACAAGUAAGGCAAAUUAAAAUUACGUUAAUAAAAUUAAGUCGUAGUUUCAGUGAGUUUCCUCCUUGUAAUUAAAGCUUUUCCUUAUUUAUUUAUAUCAUAGAAGAUGAUUUUUUCCCAUAAAAAUUCAAGCGUCGAAAUAAUGCAAAAGAAAGUAGAUAAUUUUCGGCGAAGAACAGUGAUGUGCAACGUAUGCGUUCUCAUACUUGCUCGUGCACGCUCGUGGACGUUAUCGCCUCAAGAGUUCAAACACACGGAGUCGCAAAGUGUGUUUUUCAUACUUGGAGGCCGUGUCUGGUUUGGAUUUGGCCUUUUAUCAAGUGAACACGGAACGCCGCUCAUCAUCAACCACGAAGCGAAUUCGCCUGGUUCCUCUGAUAACGAGAUGAACUUUCGACUAGGUAGUCUAAAGAUGAUACAUGGAUCAUUAAGGAAACUAGUCUUACUAGUUAUCAUCAGUUCACCCUGAUAAUCUUGGCCGCGCCAUCGCUAACCUCGUCUAACCUCGUUUUCUAUCUUUUAUCGCGUUCCGACCGACACUCUCUCUCUUUCUUUACUCUCUUAGAGAGGAAAGAGCAAGGGGAAAAAUGAGCAAGGAGAUAGAAAAAUUAGAGGAGAAAAGAAUUUUAAAAAAAGAAAAAGUAAUAACGCGAAGUCGGGAAACUAUGCACCCAAUAAAACUAAGAUUCUCUUGAAUAAAGGAAAAGAUAUACAAUGCGGUGGAUAGAAUGUUAUAAAAAGCGUGUAUAAAAUGAAAACGCUUGGAGAAUAUGAAAAAAAAUAAUACGAGCGAAAGAGGAUAGAUAAAAAAAAAGAGAAAAGGAAAAAAAGAUGUACAAAAAGUAUCCAUCCAAGUGUACGUACGGAUGAAACAUAAUAAAAAGAAGAAACACCUAUAUCUAAGGAAAGAUAUUAAACCAAAAAAAGAAAAAAGAGAGAGAGAAGCCGGAGAGUCGUAAAAAGGAUCGCAGAGGAGAGGAUUAACCGCGUAAUUGCGCACGGUUGUUCGAGCGUCCAUCGUGUAAUUAACGCACCCUAUUAACACUCGUGUGUACACAGACUCACUCUGGAAUUAGCUCGAAACUGGUUCUAGAACUAACGCGUGAACGUCUGAAAGGAACGCCCUCUGGUAAAAUUACUCGGUUGUGUAGAGAAAGGAAAAAAAAAUAGCAUCUUUCGUAAAACUAAUUUAUGUUAAAAAUUUAUAUUAAAAGGAAAAAUGGUAUAUUCUUACUACGAGCCGCUUCCUACGUUAAUAACACAACGAGGGGGAAGGAAAGGGAGAGGAAGAUAGAGACAGUGCUCUACCGCUUGUCAAUUACGAGGCUUCCGAUAAAAGGAAACGAAAUAAUUGUUGUUACAGGUCGAUAGCUCGCCGAUAAUUUUAGCUCGUCGGUUGACCGAGAACUCGAACCAGCCUUGUUCUAAUUUCGCUGUUUCUUGGAGAGGACAAGAGGCGACGCCAACGGACAAUAAAGGAAACUAUCCCAAGAGCAUCGAACGUGAAUAUUCGUUUCUUUCCCAGUUCGGAGAGGAAAGUAAGCCGAUAUGCUCUCUCGAUCGAAUCGUAAAAUUCGAUCGAGAAAUCGUUUUUUUCUUCUUCUAUUUUUUCCCCUCUCUUUUUCUUUUUCAAUUGGCAAAGAAGACGAGAUAUCUCCUCGCAGAUAUUUUUAUCUAUCGCGAGUCUCGUUUGCUCGUAGGAGGGAAUAUAAAGAACGUUCCUUCCUGGAAAAGAGAAAAUGCGGCAAAAAAAGGCGAUCGCCUCUGAAGAAGCGAUAGUACUGUGGACACCCAUGAAAUAAUUAUGACCUUCUCUCAACCCUCGACCGAAAUUCAUACGAUUUUCAAUAGCUUUCUUCCUCGUUCACGUUAAAAGGAUCUCUCUUUUCUCUCUCGUUCGACUUUUAAAUCACAAUCUCUACCAUUCCUCUGUUCGACAAAUCGUUUCACGAUUCCUUCCUCUUCCGAUGAGAAAACGUCUUCCCUUCGCCUCAUCCAUUCACCAUGACCCUCUCGAUCCCUUCUCCCUUAACGGAGGUGGAGGUUAAUCCCUUUGGGUUUACCACUUUUUUUUUUCUUUUUCUAAAUUACACGUCUAACGUAAUACAACGAUUUUUUUUUUUGAAGACAAAGAAAAUUUUAUACUAUCAAUUCUCAUCUCCACGAUGAGAAAACGUCUUCCUUUCGCCUUCAUUCAUGACUCUCUCGAUCCUUCCGCUCUUAACGGAGGUUAAUUUGUUUUGGGAUCACCAUUUUUGUUUCUUUUUUUAAAUUACCCAUCUAGCAUAAUACGACGAUUUCUUUCUUUUUUUUUAAAGAUUUUAUAUCAUAACUCUCCACGAUGAGAUAACGUCUUCCAUUCACCUCCUCCCUUAACGGAGGUUAAUCCCUUUGUUUUGGGAUCACCGCUUCUUUUUUUUUAAAUUACGCGUCUAACUAAUUUCUUUUUUUUUUGAAGAAAAUUUUAUAUUACUAAUUCGCCUCAUAGAAGAAUAUUGGAAAGAGUUUCAGAAAAUUUCAUCCAUAAGGUAUCGAUCCUCUCUUUAUAAUUUCCCAAAUUAUUCGCGCCUUGAUGCACGCGAUCGAACGACGGCCAAAUCAUUUCCGUUUCCAGGCUCGACGAUCCCGAUCGACGCCCACGAACUUCCACUCGUCCCUUAUUCAUUCGAAACCGAAGUUUCGAACGAAAUCGGCGCGGCUGGACCGAGCUCCGCCCAAUUAUUCCCACGAGCCGCGCGAAAAAAUAGGAUCGGGGUGGGGAGGAGGGCGAGCACUGCGGCUGACAAGCGAUCAAUUCUUUCGGCUGGAAGCAGGAAGCGCGGAAUCCCCCAUGGCGCGGGGAAUCCCCCAAAGAGCCGUCUCUUCCCUCCUAAGAGGGAAAUUGAAGAGAAAUUUCGUCGUGGGUUUCGUUUGCUUACGAAACGAAGAAUGUUUUGAGAACAAAUGGAUGGAAUGUUGCUUUUAAGAGAAACAGGUGGUGUUUUGACGAACGAGAAGAUAAACGAGCAAAGAGUUUUCAUUGGAGUUUGGAUUGGAUUAUUUUACAUUGAUAAAAAUUUUAUAAAUUUUUGCACACGAGUCCAAUUAUCGGCGGAAGAAUUAAUUUUUUAAAAAUGUUCCGUUCAAUUUCCUGUUGAAAAAAAAUGCGGAGAGAAGAGUUCGAAGAGUAGAUAAAUAUCAUUUUCGUCGUCCCUUGCCGCGGAAAGAACGAUGAACAUUUCCAUUUUUCACCCCCGUUGCACCCCCGUUCCGCGCAAUUUGGAUCCGGAUCGGAAACCCAUUCGGCAUCUUCUUGAUCGACGCGCGAACGCCGACCUCGAGAAGAUCACCACCCCUCCUACCGUGCAUCGCCUUUCGUUCUCAUUUCUUAUUCCCCCACCAUCUCUUUCCAACAAUUCUCUUACCAAUAAAAUUCGAUCGUUUCAAAACGCGCGAUAACGCGUUCCCGCUCUUUUAUCGUAACAUGAUAAAUUCAAAAUGAGGUAUGACACAUUGUAUUGCAUGCGCUGAUCGACGCUGAUCGCGCUAUUACCAACCGUGAUAUGUUAAAUAAUCACGAUAAUGUCGUUUCCGAAAAGUCAAACGAGCAUUUAAAUCGUGCGAUAGAGUCGGGAUAAACGAGAUGAAUUUUUCACGGGUCGAAUAAUUGUUCGAGAAGAUAAAUUCGAUUCCGAUUCUUUUCGCGAUACAAUUCUCGAGGACGUGUGAAAAUUUUCGGAAACGAUCGAAGUAAAGGCGUCGAAAGAAAGAGAGAAAAAAAAGGUACGAGGAGUAGUACGAGUUAUUCUCGUUUGCCUACUUUCUCUUUUUUCGUUGAUACUGAGUGUUCGAGAAGUAUACGAUCGAGUGUUUAAAAUUGUAUAUUAGAUAUAGGCAACGAGUCGAAUAACGUUCUCGUGCGAGAAGAUAAGUUCGAUUCCAAUUCCUUUCGCGAUAUAUUCUCGAGGAUGCGCGAAAAUUUUCUGAAACGAUCGAGGCAAGCCACGAGUAAAGAUAUCGAGAGAAAGAAAUUACUGCGCGUUCGAGAAACAUCGAGAGAUCUUAGAUAUAGAUAACGAUUUUUACGAGUCGAAUAACGUUCUCGUAACGCGAGAAGAUAAGUAGGAUUCUAUUUCUUUCGCGAGAGAAGACGCGUGAAAAUUUUUGGAAACGGUCGAAAGCCUCGAAAAAAGGGAAAAAAAUAUUAUAGAUCAGAUAGAAGACGAGGAAUAUACGAGUUAUUCUCGUUUGUCUAAUUUCUUUCGCUGUGCAUUCGAGAACUUGGAUAUAGAUAACGAUUUUUACGAGUCGCGAGAAGAUAAGUUCAAUUUUAUUUCUUUCGUGAUAGAAUUCUACAUUUCUACAGAUGAAGACGCGUGAAAAUUUUCGAACGAUCGAGGUAAGCCACGAGUAAAGAUGUCGAGAGAAAGAAAUUACUGCGCGUUCGAGAAACAUCGAGAGAUCUUAGAUAUAGAUAACGAUUUUUACGAGUCGCGAGGAGAUAAGUUCAAUUCUAUUCCUUUAUAUAUAAUAUAAUAGAUGGAAUUUCGAGGUGAAGACGCGUGAAAAAUUUUCAGAAACGAUCGAAGCAAGCCACGAAAUAAAGAGAAAGAGAAAAAGUUUUGUCAGCGAAAUUACUGCGCGUUCGAGAAUGCACGAUCGAGUGGACAGAAUUAUUAUCCACUCGAAAUCCUAGGCAUCCUUGCAGAGAACGGAUCCAGCUAAGAUCGCACUUAACACCCUCUCAUUAAGUUUCAUUAAAUUUUUUCCCAACGUUCUAAUACGUUCGAAAGAAUGCCUUUCCCCUUUCCCUUCUCUUUUAUCGAUCUUUUCCACCGGGGAACGUUCGAAAAUCGAAUGGAGAAAAAGAAAUGUGAAAAUUCUUAUCUCGUACGAGAAAUUCUUCUUAAAUAUUAUAAUAUUUAAAUAAUAUUAUUCGAACAGGAGAACGACAUUUCUUUCUCAACUCAUCUUCCCCUGCCAUCAUUCAUAUCUCGUACACGAUGAAAUGGGAGAAGAAGGAGAGGCAAGACUCAAUCGGGACGCGGUUUAUUUUUCCAUUCACGAAGUGGAAAAAAAAAACGGAGAAUCGAUCUUUCAUCGAUGAACAGGGGGGGAGUCGGUGGCAAUUAUUCUCAACGAAGAAGCACGUUUCCGGCAAUUUUCACGGACUGGUACGCCGUCUCGAAUCGAGCAGCGUGUGCCCUGAUGAUUCGUGCUUCUGUCUGUACAUCACCUAUAUAUGUGUGUACUGUAUUAGUAUGUAUAUCUGUAUCUAUAUAUAUAUAUACAUACAUAUAUACACUAUAUUCCUAAAUAAUACGCGUGUGUGGGAGGCGGACCGAUGAAGGUGGAGGGUCGUCGGUGUAAAAGCAACGACCGGAGCUGACCUGAAUCCACGGCCGGGGCGAUGAAAAGGGAGCAACAAAAGCUGCACGCGGGACGAGGACGAGAGUGAAAAUACGGAAAAUAGGCCGUUGUGCAGGGCCACCUUGUGCAACUAUUUUGUGGAACGUCGAUUCCUUCACACCAUACCCCGCCGUACGGAAGAAUCCGUAACCUCUACCAACACCAAAACCUAACCUAACUCUCCCUUCUCUCUCUCCAAGACGCCAACCAUGCCAACCCCUCCUGCAAUCCUUUCUUUGCAUGGAUAAACGGUUAAUGUUCGUUCAAAUGUUUCUCUCGAACACGUCAGGAAGGAGAUGGAAAUAAAAAUGCAGAUGAAAAAUU